GUAGGGAAUAUUGCACAAUGGAGGAGACUCUGAUGCAGCGACGCCGCGUGAGUGAUGAAGGCCUUCGGGUCGUAAAGCUCUGUCGCAGGGGAAUAACACAAUGAAGGUACCCUGUAAGAAAGGAUCGGCUAACUUCGUGCCAGCAGCCGCGGUAAGACGAGGGAUCCUAGCGUUGUUCGGAAUCAUUGGGCGUAAAGCGGAUGUAGGUGGCUAUGUAAGUCAGAUGUGAAAGCCUGGGGCUCAACCCCAGAAGUGCAUUUGAUACUGCGUAGCUUGAGUGUCGGAGAGGUUACUAGAAUUGUUGGUGUAGUGGUGAAAUACGUAGAUAUCAACAGGAAUACCGGAGGCGAAGGCGGGUAACUGGCCGAACACUGACACUGAGAUCCGAAAGCGUGGGGAUCAAACAGGAUUAGAAACCCGGGUAGUCC
This 428-nucleotide ribosomal RNA is filed under the name uncultured bacterium. Its description in RNAcentral is "partial 16S ribosomal RNA". It matches the Rfam family "Bacterial small subunit ribosomal RNA", at positions 354 to 796 of the family's 1533-position model. The record is from RNAcentral.